RNAcentral lists this ribosomal RNA (253 nucleotides) under uncultured bacterium. RNAcentral describes it as "partial 16S ribosomal RNA". It matches the Rfam family "Bacterial small subunit ribosomal RNA", at positions 524 to 776 of the family's 1533-position model. The record is from RNAcentral.
UACGUAGGGUGCAAGCGUUAAUCGGAAUUACUGGGCGUAAAGCGUGCGCAGGCGGUGAUGUAAGACAGAUGUGAAAUCCCCGGGCUUAACCUGGGAAUUGCGUCCGAAACUAUGGAGCUGGAGUGUGGCAGAGGGAGGUGGAAUUCCACGUGUAGCGGUGAAAUGCGUAGAGAUGUGGAGGAACACCGAUGGCGAAGGCAGCCUCCUGGGCCAACACUGACGCUCAUGCACGAAAGCGUGGGGAGCAAACAGG